UUAAGCGACUAAGCGUACACGGUGGAUGCCCUGGCAGUCAGAGGCGAUGAAGGACGUGCUAAUCUGCGAAAAGCGUCGGUAAGGUGAUAUGAACCGUUAUAACCGGCGAUGUCCGAAUGGGGAAACCCAGUGCAAUUCGUUGCACUAUCGUUAACUGAAUACAUAGGUUAACGAGGCGAACCGGGGGAACUGAAACAUCUAAGUACCCCGAGGAAAAGAAAUCAACCGAGAUUCCCCCAGUAGCGGCGAGCGAACGGGGAGCAGCCCAGAGUCUGAAUCAGCUUGUGUGUUAGUGGAACGGUCUGGAAAGUCCGACGGUACAGGGUGAUAGUCCCGUACACCAAAAUGCACAGGUUGUGAACUCGAAGAGUAGGGCGGGACACGUGGUAUCCUGUCUGAAUAUGGGGGGACCAUCCUCCAAGGCUAAAUACUCCUGACUGACCGAUAGUGAACCAGUACCGUGAGGGAAAGGCGAAAAGAACCCCGGCGAGGGGAGUGAAAAAGAACCUGAAACCGUGUACGUACAAGCAGUGGGAGCACCUUCGGGUGUGACUGCGUACCUUUUGUAUAAUGGGUCAGCGACUUAUAUUCUGUAGCAAGGUUAACCGUAUAGGGGAGCCGCAGGGAAACCGAGUCUUAACUGGGCGUUAAGUUGCAGGGUAUAGACCCGAAACCCGGUGAUCUAGCCAUGGGCAGGUUGAAGGUUGGGUAACACUAACUGGAGGACCGAACCGACUAAUGUUGAAAAAUUAGCGGAUGACUUGUGGCUGGGGGUGAAAGGCCAAUCAAACCGGGAGAUAGCUGGUUCUCCCCGAAAGCUAUUUAGGUAGCGCCUCGUGAACUCAUCUUCGGGGGUAGAGCACUGUUUCGGCUAGGGGGUCAUCCCGACUUACCAACCCGAUGCAAACUACGAAUACCGAAGAAUGUUAUCACGGGAGACACACGGCGGGUGCUAACGUCCGUCGUGAAGAGGGAAACAACCCAGACCGCCAGCUAAGGUCCCAAAGUCAUGGUUAAGUGGGAAACGAUGUGGGAAGGCACAGACAGCCAGGAUGUUGGCUUAGAAGCAGCCAUCAUUUAAAGAAAGCGUAAUAGCUCACUGGUCGAGUCGGCCUGCGCGGAAGAUGUAACGGGGCUAAACCAUGCACCGAAGCUGCGGCAGCGACACUAUGUGUUGUUGGGUAGGGGAGCGUUCUGUAAGCCUGCGAAGGUGACCUGUGAGGGUUGCUGGAGGUAUCAGAAGUGCGAAUGCUGACAUAAGUAACGAUAAAGCGGGUGAAAAGCCCGCUCGCCGGAAGACCAAGGGUUCCUGUCCAACGUUAAUCGGGGCAGGGUGAGUCGACCCCUAAGGCGAGGCCGAAAGGCGUAGUCGAUGGGAAACAGGUUAAUAUUCCUGUACUUGGUGUUACUGCGAAGGGGGGACGGAGAAGGCUAUGUUAGCCGGGCGACGGUUGUCCCGGUUUAAGCAUGUAGGCUGAUUGUCCAGGCAAAUCCGGAUAAUCAAGGCUGAGGUGUGAUGACGAGGCACUACGGUGCUGAAGUAACAAAUGCCCUGCUUCCAGGAAAAGCCUCUAAGCAUCAGGUAACAUCAAAUCGUACCCCAAACCGACACAGGUGGUCAGGUAGAGAAUACCAAGGCGCUUGAGAGAACUCGGGUGAAGGAACUAGGCAAAAUGGUGCCGUAACUUCGGGAGAAGGCACGCUGGUGUGUAGGUGAAGCCCCUGCGGGUGGAGCUGAGACCAGUCGAAGAUACCAGCUGGCUGCAACUGUUUAUUAAAAACACAGCACUGUGCAAACACGAAAGUGGACGUAUACGGUGUGACGCCUGCCCGGUGCCGGAAGGUUAAUUGAUGGGGUUAUCCGUAAGGAGAAGCUCUUGAUCGAAGCCCCGGUAAACGGCGGCCGUAACUAUAACGGUCCUAAGGUAGCGAAAUUCCUUGUCGGGUAAGUUCCGACCUGCACGAAUGGCGUAAUGAUGGCCAGGCUGUCUCCACCCGAGACUCAGUGAAAUUGAACUCGCUGUGAAGAUGCAGUGUACCCGCGGCAAGACGGAAAGACCCCGUGAACCUUUACUAUAGCUUGACACUGAACAUUGAGCCUUGAUGUGUAGGAUAGGUGGGAGGCUUUGAAGCGUGGACGCCAGUCUGCGUGGAGCCAACCUUGAAAUACCACCCUUUAAUGUUUGAUGUUCUAACGUUGGCCCCUGACCGGGGUUGCGGACAGUGUCUGGUGGGUAGUUUGACUGGGGCGGUCUCCUCCCAAAGCGUAACGGAGGAGCACGAAGGUUAGCUAAUCCUGGUCGGACAUCAGGAGGUUAGUGCAAUGGCAUAAGCUAGCUUGACUGCGAGCGUGACGGCGCGAGCAGGUGCGAAAGCAGGUCAUAGUGAUCCGGUGGUUCUGAAUGGAAGGGCCAUCGCUCAACGGAUAAAAGGUACUCCGGGGAUAACAGGCUGAUACCGCCCAAGAGUUCAUAUCGACGGCGGUGUUUGGCACCUCGAUGUCGGCUCAUCACAUCCUGGGGCUGAAGUAGGUCCCAAGGGUAUGGCUGUUCGCCAUUUAAAGUGGUACGCGAGCUGGGUUUAGAACGUCGUGAGACAGUUCGGUCCCUAUCUGCCGUGGGCGCUGGAGAAUUGAGGGGGGCUGCUCCUAGUACGAGAGGACCGGAGUGGACGCAUCACUGGUGUUCGGGUUGUCAUGCCAAUGGCACUGCCCGGUAGCUAAAUGCGGAAGAGAUAAGUGCUGAAAGCAUCUAAGCACGAAACUUGCCCCGAGAUGAGUUCUCCCUGAGACUUUAAGUCUCCUGAAGGAACGUUAAAGACGAUGACGUUGAUAGGCCGGGUGUGUAAGCGCAGCGAUGCGUUGAGCUAACCGGUACUAAUGAACCGUGAGGCUUAACCUU
RNAcentral lists this ribosomal RNA (2900 nucleotides) under Klebsiella pneumoniae. Its description in RNAcentral is "bacterial LSU rRNA". It matches the Rfam family "Bacterial large subunit ribosomal RNA". Lineage: Bacteria; Pseudomonadati; Pseudomonadota; Gammaproteobacteria; Enterobacterales; Enterobacteriaceae. RNAcentral also lists the same sequence under 1 other name. The record is from RNAcentral.